GGGAGUACGCACGCAAGUGUGAAACUCAAAGGAAUUGACGGGGACCCGCACAAGCAGCGGAGCAUGUGGUUUAAUUCGAAGCAACGCGAAGAACCUUACCAGAACUUGACAUCCCUACGACCGGUCUUUAAUAGGAUCUUCCCCUCGGGGCGGAGGAGACAGGUGGUGCAUGGUUGUCGUCAGCUCGUGUCGUGAGAUGUUGGGUUAAGUCCCGCAACGAGCGCAACCCUUGUCAUUAGUUGCCAGCAUUUCGGAUGGGCACUCUAGUGAGACUGCCGGGGAUAACUCGGAGGAAGGUGGGGAUGACGUCAAAUCAUCAUGCCCCUUAUGUUCUGGGCUACACACGUGCUACAAUGGCUGGUACAAAGAGACGCAAGACGGUGACGUGGAGCAAAUCUCAAAAACCAGUCCCAGUUCGGAUUGUAGGCUGAAACUCGCCUACAUGAAGUUGGAGUUGCUAGUAAUCGCGAAUCAGAACGUCGCGGUGAAUGCGUUCCCGGGUCUUGUACACACCGCCCGUCACACCAUGGAAGCUGGGGGCGCCCGAAGUUGGCCGUUUAAUAGGUUACCUAAGGUGAAAUCAGUGACUGGGGUGAAGUCGUAACAAGGUAACC
RNAcentral lists this ribosomal RNA (614 nucleotides) under uncultured Bacillota bacterium. Its description in RNAcentral is "bacterial SSU rRNA". It matches the Rfam family "Bacterial small subunit ribosomal RNA", at positions 876 to 1501 of the family's 1533-position model. Lineage: Bacteria; Bacillati; Bacillota. The record is from RNAcentral.